CAUGCAAGUCGAGCGGGGGAGCAAUCCCUAGCGGCGGACGGGUGAGUAACGCGUGGGAACGUACCCUUUGGCUUCGGAAAGUAGCCCCCGGGGAAACUGGGAGUAAUACCGGAUGUGCCCUACGGGGGAAAGAAUUUCGGCAAAGGAUCGGCCCGCGUUGGAUUAGGUAGUUGGUGGGGUAAUGGCCUACCAAGCCGACGAUCCAUAGCUGGUUUGAGAGGAUGAUCAGCCACACUGGGACUGAGACACGGCCCAGACUCCUACGGGAGGCAGCAGUGGGAAUCUUAGACAAUGGGCGCAAGCCUGAUCUAGCCAUGCCGCGUGAGCGAUGAAGGCCUUAGGGUUGUAAAGCUCUUUCGUGGGGGAAGAUAAUGACGGUACCCCAAGAAGAAGCCCCGGCUAACUCCGUG
This 410-nucleotide ribosomal RNA is filed under the name uncultured bacterium. RNAcentral's name for it is "bacterial SSU rRNA". It matches the Rfam family "Bacterial small subunit ribosomal RNA", at positions 54 to 507 of the family's 1533-position model. The record is from RNAcentral.